AGCCUGCAUGAGCUCCUCAUCAAAGCCUUCUCAGGGAGAAAAGCAACUGUCAAGAUGCCUCCUACCAUCUCUCAUGCUCUCCAUCUGCCUCUGGUUGUGGAAAUGAGCACUGCAUUAAUGCCAACAGCUAGCACAGGUAUCUACAGGCCAGUUAGCCUGGCAUCAAUCUCAGGUAAUAUGGAUGCCAAGUUGGAAAAAUCCAAAUUUAAAGUGGCCACAGCCUGGAGCCAAGAAUAUUCCCCGAUAAGCAAAUGUAUGGGAGCCAUUGUGGGAGCAGGUGCAGCCAGCACUUUUUAACAUGUCCUUUCACUCUAUUACAUGGAUGGUACACCAAGGAAUGGAGGGAGUUGAGACCUGGAAGAAAACACAACAGAAUAAGUGGCUUGCUCUAUGAAAGAAGGUCAGAGAGUGCUUCACCUUGAGCUUCACUACAGGAAAUCCCAAAUUAUCAGGGGCUCCUUAACCAGAAAAGAAGCAAAAUAUUUCUUUCUGUUCAGUGCCACAUUGUGCUAAAUGUGUGAUCAAUUUGCUAAGGUUAGCAUGGUAUGUGAAUUAAUUAACGUUUGUAAAACAAUUAUAAAUGCUGAGAAUUAUUUAUGCAUCAGUUAAGAUGAUUUCCUGAAGACUAAGGACUGGCCAGUGGGGAUCUCAAAUCAAAUGGUCAUAUUGGACACCAAAAUGGAAACCAUUGUCUUCACAGGUUUUGUUGGUGUUUGUGAACUCUUUAGAUCAGUGACUGUUCCUUCCUAGAUGUUUGUGCAGCACCAGGCACAAUGUGCAAGUUGUCAGAAAAUAGUGUGCACACUUGCCAAUAAAAGGUAGUCUCCUUAAUUUUACUACCGCAAAGGUGGCAUUUAAAGACAAAUCGAUGUGCUUAAAUUAAGAGGUAUUGUGGCUUAUGCCUAUUACACCUGUAUUUCUGCUGCGGCUUGACAACAAUAACUGUAAAAAAUAAAGGAAGCGGAAGUCUGAGAAAAAAAUCAGGAAGUCAUUCUGGGCUGGGCUCUUGCUUUGGGCCAUUUUAAAGUUUUUAAUUUUAACC
Long non-coding RNA from Dermochelys coriacea (leatherback sea turtle), 1042 nucleotides. RefSeq lists it as uncharacterized. Lineage: Eukaryota; Metazoa; Chordata; Testudines; Dermochelyidae. The transcript is spliced from 3 exons. The record is from RefSeq and is a predicted model, not a curated record.